Molecule: transfer RNA, 77 nt
Filed under: Alphaproteobacteria bacterium
Lineage: Bacteria; Pseudomonadati; Pseudomonadota; Alphaproteobacteria
Description: tRNA-His
Rfam family: tRNA
About the family: Transfer RNA (tRNA) molecules are approximately 80 nucleotides in length. Their secondary structure includes four short double-helical elements and three loops (D, anti-codon, and T loops).
Source: RNAcentral
GUGCCCAUAGCUCAGUCGGUUAGAGCGCCUGGUUGUGGUCCAGGAGGUCACCGGUUCAAAUCCGGUUGGGCACCCCA